GCCCAAAAUCAAGCCUAUAAUCAGCUCAUGUGUUAUAAAAUUAACAAACGUUAAAUAAAACAUUUUUACACUCUAGUAGAGGCGAUCAAAACAUUUAUAAGCGCUUUAUACAUAGUACCGCAAGGGAAUGAUGAAAUAGAUUUGAAACAGCCCUAAAGCAUAAAAUAGUAGAGAUUUUAUCUCGUACCUUUUGCAUCAUGGUUUAGCCAGUCCACAUCAAGCAAAACGAAAUAUUAGUUUGACCUCCCGAAACUAAGCGAGCUACUUCAAAACAGCUUUAUAGAGCCAACCCGUCUCUGUCGCAAAAGAGUGGGAUGAUUUUUAAGUAGUGGUGAAAAACCUACCGAGCUUAGAAAUAGCUGGUUAUUCAGGAAAAGAAUCUUAGUUCUACCUUAAGUUUUUACUUUAAUCUAAACAAUCUACUAAACUUAAGAGCUAUUCAAAUAAGGCACAGCUUAUUUGAAACAGGAAACAACCUUCAACAGAGGGUAAAAAUAUUCUUCUUAACCAAGUGGGCCUAAAAGCAGCCACCUUUAAAAAAGCGUUAAAGCUUUAUUACUCAACCUUCAUUCAAUACCCCCACAUAUUUUAAACCCCUCAUCUAUACUGAAUGGUCCCAUAAACUAUGGGAGUCACCAUGCUAAAACUAGUAACAAGAAAUUGAUUUUCUCCAAAAUAUAAGCAUAAACCAAAAUGGACUCCCCAUUGGUAAUUAGCGUCAAUGAGCCCAAUAUAGCAACAUAUCAAGAAAACCCUAUAUCUCCUAACGUUAACCUCACACAAGAAUAUUACCGGAAAGAUUAAAAGAGGGAAAAGGAACUCGGCAAAUCUUAACCCCGCCUGUUUACCAAAAACAUCGCCUCUUGACAAGUUAUAAGAGGUCUAGCCUGCCCAGUGACAUAGUUAAACGGCCGCGGUACCCUGACCGUGCGAAGGUAGCAUAAUCACUUGUUCUUUAAAUAAGGACUAGUAUCAACGGCAUCACGAGGGUUACACUGUCUCCUCCCUCCAAUCAGUGAAACUAAUCUCCCCGUGAAGAAGCGGGGAUAAGAAUAUAAGACGAGAAGACCCCAUGGAGCUUUAAACCCAACAACAACCUCUAUAUACAAACCCCCUAAUAAUUACAGAAGUCCUGCCUGUUGGUUUUAGGUUGGGGUGACCGCGGAGCAAAACUAAACCUCCACGACGAACGGGAUUAACCCCUAAUCCAAGAGCCGCCGCUCUAAGAAUCAAUAUAUUGACGUAAAAUGAUCCGACAAUCGAUCAACGAACCAAGUUACCCUGGGGAUAACAGCGCAAUCCAUUUCAAGAGCCCCUAUCGACAAAUGGGUUUACGACCUCGAUGUUGGAUCAGGGUAUCCCAGUGGUGCAGCCGCUACUAAAGGUUUGUUUGUUCAACAAUUAAAACCCUACGUGAUCUGAGUUCAGACCGGAGUAAUCCAGGUCGGUUUCUAUCUAUAAAAUGUUAUUCUCAGUACGAAAGGAUCAGAAUGACGUGGCCAAUAUUCCUACAUGCCACAACCCUUAACCAAUGAACUAAUCUCAAUUCGUAAAGGCCUACUAAUAUAUCUUAGACCAAGACA
RNAcentral lists this ribosomal RNA (1583 nucleotides) under Quasipaa jiulongensis (Jiulong spiny frog). Its description in RNAcentral is "16S ribosomal RNA". It matches the Rfam family "Bacterial large subunit ribosomal RNA", at positions 371 to 2830 of the family's 2925-position model. Lineage: Eukaryota; Metazoa; Chordata; Amphibia; Anura; Dicroglossidae. The record is from RNAcentral.